UCAUCAGGUAUUGCAGCUACGUUGUUGGA
This 29-nucleotide non-coding RNA is filed under the name Bombyx mori (domestic silkworm). Lineage: Eukaryota; Metazoa; Arthropoda; Insecta; Lepidoptera; Bombycidae. The record is from RNAcentral.